This 1552-nucleotide ribosomal RNA is filed under the name Salmonella enterica. Its description in RNAcentral is "bacterial SSU rRNA". It matches the Rfam family "Bacterial small subunit ribosomal RNA". The record is from RNAcentral. Lineage: Bacteria; Pseudomonadati; Pseudomonadota; Gammaproteobacteria; Enterobacterales; Enterobacteriaceae.
AAAUUGAAGAGUUUGAUCAUGGCUCAGAUUGAACGCUGGCGGCAGGCCUAACACAUGCAAGUCGAACGGUAGCACAGAGAGCUUGCUCUCGGGUGACGAGUGGCGGACGGGUGAGUAAUGUCUGGGAAACUGCCUGAUGGAGGGGGAUAACUACUGGAAACGGUGGCUAAUACCGCAUAACGUCGCAAGACCAAAGAGGGGGACCUUCGGGCCUCUUGCCAUCAGAUGUGCCCAGAUGGGAUUAGCUUGUUGGUGAGGUAACGGCUCACCAAGGCGACGAUCCCUAGCUGGUCUGAGAGGAUGACCAGCCACACUGGAACUGAGACACGGUCCAGACUCCUACGGGAGGCAGCAGUGGGGAAUAUUGCACAAUGGGCGCAAGCCUGAUGCAGCCAUGCCGCGUGUAUGAAGAAGGCCUUCGGGUUGUAAAGUACUUUCAGCGGGGAGGAAGGUGUUGUGGUUAAUAACCACAGCAAUUGACGUUACCCGCAGAAGAAGCACCGGCUAACUCCGUGCCAGCAGCCGCGGUAAUACGGAGGGUGCAAGCGUUAAUCGGAAUUACUGGGCGUAAAGCGCACGCAGGCGGUCUGUCAAGUCGGAUGUGAAAUCCCCGGGCUCAACCUGGGAACUGCAUUCGAAACUGGCAGGCUUGAGUCUUGUAGAGGGGGGUAGAAUUCCAGGUGUAGCGGUGAAAUGCGUAGAGAUCUGGAGGAAUACCGGUGGCGAAGGCGGCCCCCUGGACAAAGACUGACGCUCAGGUGCGAAAGCGUGGGGAGCAAACAGGAUUAGAUACCCUGGUAGUCCACGCCGUAAACGAUGUCUACUUGGAGGUUGUGCCCUUGAGGCGUGGCUUCCGGAGCUAACGCGUUAAGUAGACCGCCUGGGGAGUACGGCCGCAAGGUUAAAACUCAAAUGAAUUGACGGGGGCCCGCACAAGCGGUGGAGCAUGUGGUUUAAUUCGAUGCAACGCGAAGAACCUUACCUGGUCUUGACAUCCACAGAACUUUCCAGAGAUGGACUGGUGCCUUCGGGAACUGUGAGACAGGUGCUGCAUGGCUGUCGUCAGCUCGUGUUGUGAAAUGUUGGGUUAAGUCCCGCAACGAGCGCAACCCUUAUCCUUUGUUGCCAGCGGUUAGGCCGGGAACUCAAAGGAGACUGCCAGUGAUAAACUGGAGGAAGGUGGGGAUGACGUCAAGUCAUCAUGGCCCUUACGACCAGGGCUACACACGUGCUACAAUGGCGCAUACAAAGAGAAGCGACCUCGCGAGAGCAAGCGGACCUCAUAAAGUGCGUCGUAGUCCGGAUUGGAGUCUGCAACUCGACUCCAUGAAGUCGGAAUCGCUAGUAAUCGUGGAUCAGAAUGCCACGGUGAAUACGUUCCCGGGCCUUGUACACACCGCCCGUCACACCAUGGGAGUGGGUUGCAAAAGAAGUAGGUAGCUUAACCUUCGGGAGGGCGCUUACCACUUUGUGAUUCAUGACUGGGGUGAAGUCGUAACAAGGUAACCGUAGGGGAACCUGCGGUUGGAUCACCUCCUUACCUUAAAGAAGC